Molecule: transfer RNA, 88 nt
Filed under: Pterulicium gracile
Lineage: Eukaryota; Fungi; Basidiomycota; Agaricomycetes; Agaricales; Pterulaceae
Description: Pterula gracilis tRNA
Rfam family: tRNA
About the family: Transfer RNA (tRNA) molecules are approximately 80 nucleotides in length.
Source: Rfam by way of RNAcentral
GCCCGCCUAGCUCAAUCGGCUAGAGCGUCAGACUUUUACGGCUUAGCCAGGUAUCUGAAGGCUGCGAGUUCGACCCUCGCGGUGGGCU